GUUAAAGUCCAGUGUUAUUCCAGAAUCAAUGGGAAAUUGACCAAUUCACCCUACAGCAGCGGACAAACUGUCACCAUUCAGAGUCCAAAACCAGAAGUGAGUGUUGAAGUUCAUAAUGACCUGGUUGACAUUUUCUGCUCGCUGCUUGGAUCUGCAAACUCCCAAACAAUGUGUCACCUGUACUACGGAGAAUCACUGCGCCCAUUCCUCACAAAAAAUGUUGAGGUAAAAGCAAUGGACAGCAGAUGGUUUUGCCAUUUUUUCAUCUCUUCAUAUUAUUUGUGGAGAGGUCUUGAUACUUUGAAGACAAAAGAAAUCAGUUGUGACUACAGUUUAGAAAAUGGAGACAAAUCCCCUCGCAGUGAUGGAUACGACAUGAGCGCUUUCAUAAAGAAUGCACCAGUGCCCCAGCCCCAUGUGACUACAGCUGUAUUAGAGCCAGUGAAGACUACAACCCCAGGUCAUGUGACAGG
This is a long non-coding RNA of Periophthalmus magnuspinnatus, 473 nucleotides long. RefSeq lists it as uncharacterized. The record is from RefSeq and is a predicted model, not a curated record. The transcript is spliced from 3 exons. NCBI's taxonomy places the organism in Eukaryota, Metazoa, Chordata, Actinopteri, Gobiiformes, Gobiidae.